RNAcentral lists this ribosomal RNA (446 nucleotides) under uncultured bacterium. Its description in RNAcentral is "partial 16S ribosomal RNA". It matches the Rfam family "Bacterial small subunit ribosomal RNA", at positions 331 to 793 of the family's 1533-position model. The record is from RNAcentral.
CCAGACUCCUACGGGAGGCAGCAGUGGGGAAUAUUGCACAAUGGGGGGAACCCUGAUGCAGCGACGCCGCGUGGGUGAAGAAGUCAUUCGUGACGUAAAGCCCUAUCGGCAGGGAAGAAGAUGACGGUACCUGACCAAGAAGCCCCGGCUAACUACGUGCCAGCAGCCGCGGUAAUACGUAUGGUGCAAGCGUUAUCCGGAUUUACUGGGUGUAAAGGGAGCGCAGGCGGCACGGCAAGCCUGAUGUGAAAGGCUGGGGCUCAACCCCAGGACUGCAUUUGGAACUGUCAUGCUAGAGUGUCGGAGAGGCAGGCGGAAUUCCUAGUGUAGCGGUGAAAUGCGUAGAUAUGAGGAGGAACACCAGUGGCGAAGGCGGCCUGCUGGACUAUGACUGACGUUGAGGCUCGAAAGCGUGGGGAGCAAACAGGAUUAGAUACCCGGGUAAG